ACCCGCCCAAAAACCCCUCUUCCUUUUAUUUUUAACUAAUUUUAAUAAUAUAAAUAUUAGGUUAAAACAUUUUGUUGCCCUUUCCCCCACUAACGUCAAUACAUCCAAAGCGAAGCCACAAAAUAAGGCUCAAUCAGAUACCCCAAAUAAGGCUCCUAUUCUCUUUCAUUUUGAACACAGAGGAUAAAACUCCCCAACCCAGAUGCUCUCCCCAAAUCCCUAAAUCCAACGUCAGUGAUUUUUGCUAUGUAAGUUUUUUUGACGCCUUUUUUUUAAUCUUUUUCUACUAUCCUUGAUUGUGUUAAUAUCUGUUCUUCAAUUAGAAGAUCGUCUUGGUUUUUGUCGAUCAUUUUGGUAUUAUUAUUACCCUUUCUCUCUAUUUCUUUCUUGGUAUUUGAUAAUGGAUGCUUAGAUAUUAUUUUUACCGUUGCUUUUAUUUUGUUAAACAUCUUGUCUUAUUGUUUAGUUCCUUUACUUUGUUCAUCUGUUUGGUGCUUGUUAUUGAUAUUGCUGGAAUGGUUAAAGUUUGGAUCUUUUUUACAUUAUCUUUGUGGAAUUUAUUCUGAUAUGAUAAUAGAUGCUUAGAUAUUUUUAUCGUAGCUUUUAUUUUGUUGAACUACAUAUCCUAGUGUCUAGUCCCAUUACUCUGUUCCAUAUGUUUGGUGCUUGUUUUUGUUGUUGUUGAUGCUGGUAUGAUUAAAGGUUGAAUCCUUUUUUACAUUUUUGUGGAAUUUUGUGUUAUAUGAUCUAUAUGUACCAUGAAAACAACUUCUUAUAGAAAUGCAGCGUGCAAUAGGCCCUUGUGGUCCAGCCUUUCCUCGGACCCCGCACAUAGCGGGAGCUUAGUGCACCGGGCUGCCCCUUUUUAUUUUUUAUGAUCUAUAUGUAAGAGUUAUACUCGAAUUGCUUGAAAAGCUGCAUGCUUUUGACGGCUUUUUCAACAACAAUUUUUGGGCUUGUUCUGCUUUGUCUUUAAAGUUUCUACCAUGUUGGUUUGAAGAAAUAUAUUGGUUUGAAGAAUUAUCUCUGUGCCAUCUGCUUGGUGCUUGUUAUUGUUAUGGUUAAAGUUUGGAUAUUUUUACAUGUCUUUUUGGAAAUUGUUGUUGUAUGAUCUUAUGUGUAAAAGUUCCACAUGAAUGUGCUUGCAAAGCUGCCUGCCUGCUCUCACCAAAUAAUUUUUGAGCUUAUUCUGAUUUACUACUAAAGAUAUUGUGUUGUUGGUUUGAAGAUCUAUCUAUGCUUAUUGGUGAUGAGUAUAUUUACUUAAGUUGGGAAAACCAUUAUUGCUUCAUAUGCUUUCUCAAAGAAAACCUUCAGUCUUGAAACUCUUGAUCUUUCUACUAUUGUUUGACCUUUAAGUACUGCUUUUCUAAAUGCAUAUCAGUUUUCUUUGAAAAUGCAAACUUUGAUUGACUAUAGUGCAUUACUGGUCCCCUACCAUCUAUUGAUAUGUUGUUUAACAUAAUUAUCAAUUAUCUGUCUCUAUGGAUUUACUUUUCUUGCUUUUCUCAACUUUCUUCAUUGUUUGCAAGUGAAAUUGGAAAAAGAUAAUUGAGCCAAUUCUUAGCAUAUAUACUAAUUUUGCCUUUUUCAUAGAAAUGCUACUUCAACUGGGUCCUUUCACAAUUUUGCUUUCAUCUGUUGGGAACUAAGACAGUUGGCUACUUAUGUUAUGCUGAUGCUGAAUAGUACUCAUUUUGUUUGAUUUUACCUAUUAUAUUUAGCCCACUUUCUUUUUGCAUCUCCACACCAUUUAAGAAAGAUUGACAAUGCUACACUGAAGGGUUUAAGUUAUGUAAUUUACCUCUGAAUAUUUUUAUUCAAAUUAUUAAAAAAUCAAUUACACGUGAUUGUCCAAUUAUUUUAAUCAUAAGAGUUAUAUCCGGGGUGUGAAAAUUUCAGUGAACUAAGUUUUACUAUUCAAUUGUACUUGCUUAAAUCCUUGCAUGGGUUCAGUAAUGUGGCUUUCUCGGAUUUGUUAGAGUUUAUAAAAUUACCAAGAACGUCGUUACACGAAUUCAACGUCUCAACCCCGAUUUGAGACUUGAUCCUCACAUACUAAUCUUCUGUGCUCGUGCACCUGGAGAAGCUUCCUCUCCACACCAAGCUGAUAUUCAACCAAUCAAUUUUCCAUCUGAUGGUAGUAACAAUCAAGGUCAGUCCAUACCAUAUGUUACACGUCUUCUCUUUCCUCUUCUUCUCCUUUUUUUUUGUUGCUUAUUCUACCACUGCGCUCUCUCUCUCUCUCUCUCUCUCUCUCUCUCUGGCAAUGUUUGUUUUACUAGUUUUAAAGGAGAUUUAUAGUGGAGAAAGAGGGGUUGUUUGUGGAGUCAUUUUAUGGGAGUGUAGUUGAGGCAUUGGUUUACUUGACAUUAUUUGACUGUAGUUGAGGCGUUGUAGCAUAUAUGAAUCUGAUAUGUCUUCUCCGACAAUUUGGAAAUAGAGGAAUUGAAGAAUCUUCAGGGAGGGAAAAGGAACCUAGGGAGCAUAAACUAUAAAAAGUUAGUUUCUGUUUCUUUUAAGGUGUAAAGUAAACUAGUAUUAUCUUUCAUAGAUAAUUGGGUUAACUUGGUGAAAGAUCAUGGUUAAUUCGUGUAGGGUUUGGAAAAUUCUUUUGGCAUUGUGUCAGUGCAUUAUUAAUGAAAUUAUCCUGAUCUAAAGAAGAAACUUAAAGCCCAAAAUGAAGUAAAGAUGUUUGCAGAUGGGCUGACUUUCUUGUGAAAAAUGGAAAUUCUAUCAAAAUUAUGUGGUUUUACUUUGAUUAAUAAAGUAUUUCUGAAAUAAAAUUGAGGUAUUAGUGGACUACAUAUUGGUUCUAUUUUUCCAUGUUCUUUUUUGGGAACUUAGAGUUACACACCAAUAAGAUGGAAGGAUUUGAUAUUGCACCCAUAAACUCAGUAGAAUUUGAAAAAAAAAAACUUUAUGUAAGUAGGAUGUCAUUUUGUAUUUUUGGUUGUGCUUUGUGAUGCCUUUUGGUCAUCCUCAGGCACAUGUCAUCUUCAUCAUGUUACUUACAUGCUUAUGUAGAUCAAAAUCUAUGCUUGUUGAAAAUACAUUUGGCAAAAUGUGGAACAGAGUUAUACUAGAGAGGACUAAGCCUUAGCGGAACUGUCUUUUUUUUUUUUUUUACACUUUUGGAGGACCUACAGUAUUUCAAUUAGUAUUAGUGACUAAUGCUUUUUGUUGAGAAUCAUAUUUUUGUCUAAAGCUCUCUAUUUUCUGUAUACAAUCCUAUAAGCAUGUUUUGCCUAUCACAUUAAUAAAAGAAUUAACUUCAUUUUAAAGAAAAGCAUUUUGGCAAAAGAACUUUCAGAACACACUUUAGACAUAUACUAUCCAAAUAAAAAUACUAGGUUCAGUCAUUUGGAAGUAAAAGAAGAAAAAAUGAUUGUGAUUGCGUGAAGUUCGAAGGCUUAGGAGUCGGCUAUUUUGCUGCAUUUUUGGGUGAUUUUUACAGCUGUUUUGCUGCGUUUUUUUGUUGUUACUACACUUGCAUUAGGUCCGGCAUUUAGAAGUUUAAUCCUUUAUGAUAAACAUUUAUGCAAGAGAGUAGUUCAUCGGCAAAUUCAAAUUGAAUUGUAUGAUGAUUACAGUCUGAGAUUCGUAUUAACGAAAUAUGUCGUUUAGUGUACUCAGUUACCUCUCCUACUUGUCAUGUGUUUUGUCUUUUUGUUGAGAUUUGUCAAGACCCAAAACAACCGUCGUGAUGACGCAUAUCGUGGAACUAGGCAAGCCAAUUACUCAACUAUUCCAACAUAACCAAAAGCUUUGAAACAAAAUACGGAAGCAGUUAAUAUUUAAGGAAAAUCUUUAAAACAUAAAUAAAUACGCAACCCAAUACAAUCUCUCCCUAAACCGGGAUGUUACCGAGUACAUGAGCUUCUACAAUGGAAGAUAGUCAAAUACAGUGUCUAAAGAGUAAAAAAAACUGAAAUACAAGUAAAGAUAAUGAAGGAGGGUCAAGGUCUGCGAAAGUCAUGCAGCUACCUCGAUAGUCUCUCGAGAUCAUGACUCCACAAUGAGCAACCGCCGUGACUGGAAGCACCUGGAUAUCCACACGAGGUGCAGGGUGUAGCGUGAGUACAACCAUUGUCACGAUAGAAAAUGCUGAAGCUGCAAUGGUCCUACCUUAAAGGACUCCGAAGAUCACAGUACAAUUGAAACCUACGGUGAUAGUUCAGACUUACCAGUAACAGCCUACUGCUGCUACCAUGGAUGAAAAGGAUCGGGAAUACAAAGCAGUCCCGUGGACAUAUCAACAAAAAGGGAAAGCCAAUAUGACGGAUUCCGCAGCGGCUCACGGCAUGACUAGGCCAGGGAGGUGUUACGCUCUUGAGGAUAUAAACCGAGGGAAUCUAGGAAGGGUACGGAUUCAGAGAAGAAAUAUAACAGAUCUGAAGGCCGUAGAAUUUUGGAAGAAGAUGUCAACCAAAGAAUACUCCGUUAGGAGCAACUGAAGAAAACCCCGCACAAAUAUCAAUCAUGGAUUUACUGAUGAGUUCUGACAGUCAUAAAGAUGCCCUGAUGAAAGUGUGAAGUGGGGUGAGCGUACUGAGCAAUAACAUAAGUGAGGCACUGGUAACAACAAUUGGGAAAAUGGUCGAAGCAAAUAUGAUCACUUUCCGAAGAGAUGAGCUUCCUAUCUAAGGCGUGGGUCAGAACAAAACUCUACACAUCACUGUCAAAUGUGGAGAUAAGGUGGUGUCCCCAGUACUGAUUGAUGGAGGAUCAGGAUUCAAUAUCUGCCCGCUCUCUACUCUGUGAGAGUUGCAUAUCCAUCUAAGAGAAGUCAAGGAAUGUCAUGCGAGGUUAAGGGCUUUUGACGGGUCGCAAAAGGAUGUCAUUGGAGAAAUUUAUUUGGCACUGCAGAGUGGACCAAUUGAGUUUCCCAUACUAUUCCAAGUGAUGUAUAUUUCAUCUUCAUAUAACUUAUUACUAGGAAGACCUUGGAUACACAUGGAGGGGGCAGUACUAUCUACCCUACACCAAUGUAUGAAGUUCGAAUGGGGGUGUCAACAGAUCGUAGUCCACGACGAAUGGAGCCAAUCAGCUUAUCUGGAACACACAGUCCCGUUCAUAGAAGGAUUAGACGGGGUCGCUUUCCAUGCAGUAGAGUUCAUGCAGACCACCGAAAUAGAAGAGACUAAGCAAAACCUAAGAAUGCAGUCAUCAUAUAGAUCAAAGAUGGCCAUGAGGAAAAUGAUGAAAUACAGAUACAGUCCAAGAACCGAGCUGGGAGCCCAAUCAGACAGGAUAAUAGAGCUGAUUGAGCCAUAUGGGCAGAAAGGAAGAGUCGGCCUACGGUAUCAGCCAUCGACUGAGAAGGCGUGUAUCGGUAGCUUCGGGAAAAAGGAGAUUUUAUGCCAGAGCGUUUAUCGGGUACGUGUUAGAGCUCAGUGCCAGAUGACGACAUCGUCGAUGGAAUGGAAAGGCUGUUCGUGACCAUACUUGAGGAAUGUUGUGAAGGAAUUUAUAUUAUGUCACCGACCAUUCGGGAAUCUGAACUAGGAGAGGACUUGCAGAAUUCGACUGUUAGCCCGUCAUUGGUUCGCCAAGAGUCUUGGUAGUGUGGAAUUAUAAAUGUUUUGAAAAGAGCGCACGGUCAAUUGAGGCUCGGACCGUGUCUGUAGUUUUUUGUUAUUUGCCUCUUUGAACGCUCAGACGUUGCUCUUUUGAUGAAAGAAAAGAAUUGCUUUCUUAAAAUUAUUGCAAAUUUAUUUAUUGCUUCAUUUAUACUUUGUUUUUCUUUUCAGUAAUCAAAACGAUAAAAACCUGCAUUCGCGAUUAUGACAUAUAACGAAACCCUCGAGCAAAGCGAUCCAACUUACGAGGAGUACGAUGAGAGUAUGAUGCCAGAUAAUCUCCCAAGAGAGAUCGAACAACUGGAAAGCCAGAGAAAGCCUAAGCUUGAAGAGACAGAAGUGGUCAACCUCGGAAGCGAAGAAGAUAUAAAAGAAACCCGAAACAACAUCCAUCUAGAAGUAGAGCAGAAUGAAGAAUUGGUUAAGCUCCUCCGAAGUACAUUGAUAUAUUCACAUGGUCGUAUGAUGACAUACCUGGGUUAAGUACUGAUAUUGUUCGCACCGAUUGCCUAUCGAUCAUGCUAGACCACCAGUCAAACAAAAACCCAUAAAAUUCAAACUAGACUUGAGUUUAAGGAUAAAGGAAGAAGUAACCAAGCAAAUAGAGGUGAAUGUAGUGAGGGCAAUAAAUUAUCCCACAUGGUUGGCGAAUAUCGUCCCAGUGCCCAAGAAGGAUGGAAUGAUCAAGAUAUGUGUAGAUUAUCGAGAUUUCAACAAAGCCAGCCUAAAAGACAAUUUCUUUUUACCUAAUAUACAUAUCCUCAUCGACAAAUACGUGAAGCAUGAACUGCAUUCGCUCGUGGAUUGUUUCUCUGGGUACCACCAGAUCCGGAUGCACGAAAAAGAUGCAGAAAAGACAGAUUUUACUACACCUAGGGGAGUCUACUGCUAUAGAUUCAUGCCCUUCGGUCUCAAAAAUACUGGCGCUACUUACAUGAAGGCCAUGACAACCCUCUUUCACGACAUGAUUCACAAAGAGAUCGAGGAAUAUGUGGAUGACAUCAUCAUCAAGUCUCGGAAGAGUUCAAAACAUUUUGAUGAUAUUAGGAAGUUUUUCGAACGUUUGUGGAGGUAUAGUUUGAAGUUGAAUCCUGCAAAAUGCGCAUUCGGAGUCCCUGUUGGAAAAUUGCUAGGUUUCAUCAUUAGCAAAAAAGGGAUAGAGUUAGAUCCCUCAAAGAUCAAAGCUAUUCAAGAGUUGCCACCGCCCAAAAGUAAGAAGGAUGUGAUGAGUUUCAUGGGUAGAUUGAAUUACAUCAGCCGUUUCAUAGCCGAGUCUACAGUAAUUUGUGAACCUAUCAUUAAGCUGUUGAAGAAACAUGCUGCCACAAAAUAGACAGAAGAGUGUCAGAAAGCCAUCAACGGAAUUAAGGAGUAUUUGUCAAAUCCGCUAGUGUUGGUUCCUCCCGGGCCUAGGAAGCCACUGUUGCUGUGCCUGCCGGUCUUGGACAAUAUUUUGGAUGUGUUGGGACAACAUGACGAAAGCGGAAGACAGAGUAGGCCAUCUACAACUUAAGCAAGAAAUUCACACCGUGUAAGGCCAAAUACACUUUGAUUGAGCGCACUUACUGUGCUUUGACUUGGAUCGCCCAGAAACUGAGGCAUUACAUGUUAGCAUACACCACGCAUUUGAUAUCCUGACUCGACCCGCUCAAGUAUAUCUUUCAGAAGCCAAUGCCUAUAGGAAAACUAGCUAAAUGGAAAAUUCUUCUCAGCGAAUUUGACAUUGUGCACAUAACACAGAAGGCCAUCAAAGGAAAAGCUUUAGCCAACCACCUUGUAGAGAAUCCAGUGGACAAGGAUUAUGAGUUGCGCACUGUGUACUUUCUCGACGAGGAAGUAUUGUUUGCCGGAGAAGAUAUUGCAGAGUCAUACCUUGGAUGGAGAAUGUUCUUCGACGGAGCGGCAAACUUCAAAGGAGUGGGAAUUAGGGAUGUCCUAAUUUCGGAAUCAGGACAAAACUAUCCAGCAUCAGCAAAGAUAAGGUUCCCUUGCACCAAUAAUAUGGUCGAAUACGAAGAGUGCAUCAUUGGGAUCAAGAUGGCAGUUGACAUGAACAUCAAAGAGCUCUUGGUCAUAGGGGAUUAUGAUCUAUUAAUACAUCAAGUCCAAGGGGAGUGUUCUACCAAGAAAGUUAAGAUCCUUCCAUACCUGCACUGUGUAAAAGAGUUAUGCAUGAAGUUCACAAAGCUCGAGUUUAAGCACGUUCCCAAGAUCCAUAAAGAGUUUGUCGAUACUCUUGCAACCCUAUCAUCCAUGAUUUAGCAUCUAGAUAAGAAUUACAUCGACCCUAUUGAGGUAAAAACCAGAGAUCAACAUGCAUACUACUUUCAUAUAGACGAAGAGCCAGAAUGUUGACCGUGGUACCACGAAAUGAAAAGGUUCCUCGAAACAUGAGAGUACCCAGAGAGUGCUACAGAUAGUCAAAAGUGAGCGCUCAGAAGGCUGGCAAAUCACUUUUUCCUCGACGAGGAAGCCCUGCAUAAAAUGACCCCAAACUUUGGUCUGUUGAGAUGUGUAGAUGCCGCUGAAGCAACCAAAUUGUUAGAAGAAAUACAUAUGGGAACAUGCAGACCCCACAUGAACGGCUUCACCUUAGCCAAGGGGAUUUCACGGGGAUUUCAUCUGGGUUCCGCCUAAUGAGUUCAAUGUAAUGGGUUCGCGUUGGCCGCUCGCCGCUGUGAUUGGACCUAUAGAGCCCGCCACAUAAAAUGGGCACCGUUUCAUCUUAGUAGUCAUUGACUGCUUCACCAAAUGAGUCGAAGCAUCUACCUACAACACAGUCAUAAAGAAAGUGCUGGCAGAUGUUGUUCGUAACAACAUCGUCUGCCGAUUUGGGAUACCUGAGUCAAUCAUCACUGACAAUGCAGAUAAUGUCAACAGUGAUCUCAUGAGAGAAAUUUGUGAGAAGUUCAGAAUUGUCCAGCGCAACUCUACAGCCUACAGCUACAAAUGAAUGGAGCAGUUGAACCAGCCAACAAAAACAUCAAAAGGAGUCUGCGGAAGAUAGUGGACAAUAAUAGGCAAUGGCACGAGAAGUUAUCCUUCUCCUUACUAGGUUAUCGAACCACCACGAGGAUAUCCACUGGGGAAAUGCCAUACCUAUUGGUAUAUAGAACCGAAGUAGAGCGUUCUCAAGGCUGUUAGAAAAGUAUGGAGUUCGCCAUAAGGUUGCCACACCUUACCACCCGCAAAUGAACGGGCAAGUGGAAGUGUCCAAUAGGGAAAUCAAAAGUGUCCUGACCAAGACAGUGAAUGCGACUCGGACUAAUUGGGCAAGGAAGUUGGAUGAUGCGUUAUGGGCUUACCGCACAACAUUUAAAACUCUAAUUGGUAUGUCUCUGUAUAAGUUGGUGUUUGGAAAAGCAUGCCAUCUUUCGGUGGAGCUUGAGCAUAAAGCCUUAUGGGCACUGCGGCAGUUGAAUUUGGAUAUGGAAACCGCGGGCACAAGUAGACCUACAGAAUUACAUGAACUCGAGGAGUUCCCAUUCCAGGCAUUUUAGUGUCACGCCCCGACCUCGGUCGAGCAAGACUGUACAAUACCUUCUACCCAAACUUACUCAUAAAUAAAGAGAAGAUCUAUUUCAUUAAUUAGACAGUGAGGAGACUCAUGUGAACAACAACACCAAUUCAUUAUCAGCAGUUUCAUCAGCUAUAAGUUAUAAAAUACAUACACUUUCAUAGUUUUGUGCGGAACGUGUGAUGCAGUUACCAAAAUUACUAGUUUAUCUUUCUCAACACCGACAUACCACCCACACAAUAUCUACGGAGCCUCUAAUAGAUACAAAAGAGUAUGAUGAUAGUGCCGACAAUAAGGCCCCGGAUAUACCUCAAAACAUAAUACAUAAGGACAAAAUUUAUACGAUCCCGAAUGAGGUGGGGCUCACCAAGUCAGCUGGGGAGAGGGUGUACCGCUAUCAACGAUCAAAGCCGCCUGCUGUGGAACCACCUGCAUCCGUUUAAGACGCAGCGCCCCCGGCAAAAGGGACGUUAGUACAUGUGGAAUAGUACUAGUAUGAAUGAGUAAGCACCCUCUCAAUAGAACGAAUGAUGAAACAAGAAUGAACAAUCAUAAAAUCAAUGGGAAGUCUCAAACAAUACCCAAAACAUCAAGUUAGGAAUAAGACAAGGUUUCAAGUGAUUUCCAUAUUUUAAGUUGGGAGACCUUUAGUAUCGAUAUUCCAUCGUUUACAAUUUCCAACAUAGUCACCACCAUGUCUGCGGCAUGGCGUCUGAUCACAACCCGAUUGGCUAGGCCGUCUCAUACGAGACAUCAACCACAAUCACAAUUUCAAUUUCAAUUUCCAACACAAUCACCACCAUGUGUGCGGCAUGGCGUCCGAUCACGACCCGAUCGGCUAGGCCGCUGCAUCCGAGACAUUGUCCUCUUCUAUCAAUCAUCCCAUUUCAUACCUCUUUCACAUCUUUUUAUUUCAUUGGCACUAGUGGUCACAAUUGUAAUAUCCCCCUUUUGUGUGGCGUGUUGGCCAUAUUUCAUAUUUUAUAUUUUGUGCUUACCUUUUCACUUUCAACCAUCAUCAUUGAUUUUCAACAAGGCGUUUACGUUCAAGUCACUAAGCAUACAAGUUAGCAAACAAGAGUCUUAAGUGCAUUGAGAUUUCUUACACAAUUGGCAUUCGCUAUAAUUUGAAACGCAACAUGAGGCCAUAACAUUUAGCUAAGCAACCAAUAUUUUGAACACAUUACCAAAUAGUAGUACAACUUAACAAGAGCAUUGGGAAUACAUAUUGAACACAAAAGUCUUUUGACACAAAGUUUAUUCGGAAAAAUCGAUUCAUAAUGAGUAACUUGGGAAUUACAAUGACAUUGUGCGGUUCAAUUCUAUGGGAAGAGUUUAGCCAACAUACCUCACUUGAUCUUCCUUAAAUACUAAAAUGUUCCGAAAAUUAUAGCAACUUCGAUCUAUUUCAGAAUUAUAACAAAUUGAACCAAAAAUUAGGAAGAUGAUCAUGGUUCCAGCUCAUUUGAGCGUUUUAUCAAACACUAGGUGUGCAUUAAGAUUUCAAGGCCCUACAAUGGUGGAUUCCAUCAUCCACCCGUUAUCUACCAUUUUUAGCCCAAUAAUCGUCCUACACCCUUAGAUAACACAUGCAUGCAAGAGGGACAACUACCAUACCCAAGAAUUUCCUUACUAAUUACCUAUUUUUAGUUAAAUUUCGAAAUUGAGGGUUAGGGUAUAGAAUCUUACCUCUAGGAUGAAGACCUAGUAUUUUUUCCUUGUUAAUCUUCCAAGAUUUGAGUAAGAAUUGAAGAACAAUUAGUUGAGGAACUCUCUCCCUCUCUAGAGCACUUUCUCACUCUCAAAAUGUCAGGUUCUUAUUUAAGAAACGGUCCAUGGAGUCUAUAUAACGAAAUGGGGUCGGGUUAUAAAAACCAAAAAAAUGAAGCUCUGAAACACAAUCUGCGGUCGCAUAAUAAUUUUGCGGUCCGCGAAAUGGACCGCGAAAUGGCCCUCUGGAACUGGGCAUCGCUGCCUGGGUAUGCGGCUGUUCUGCGGUCCGCAUAUCGAUUAUGCGGUGCAAAGCGGACCGCAGAAUCUCCUCCCAGAAUUCCUCAUGUCGAUCCUGCGAUGCAAUCUGUGGACCGCAUAAUGGCCCACAAAUUUUGCUUCAGUUUCAACUUCACUCUGUGGCCAUUCUGCGACCGCAUAGUGGGCCGCAGAAAUGUUUUUUUCUGCCAACAUUUUCCUUUAACUCCCUAGCGCACUGUUCAACCCAAAAAGUCCGUACCGCGGCGAGCAAGCUCGUUGCGAAGAACUUCUACCAUCACCAAACAUAUUAGCCUACCUCGUUACCACGGAACCUCGGGUUUUAGGUGAAAUUUUAUAGGGACUUAUAUCCUCCCCCACUUAAGAUCAUUCAUCCUCGAAUGAGGGUCUAAAUCCGUCAUUAGUACUCAACAUGACCCAGCUGUUACUUCACACACACUAGUAGUCCCAAUUUUUGACUAACUCCCCAAAUUCCCAAAAUGUUCGGCAGAGUUUCCCUUGUAACUGGCCUAUCCACCUGUCAGAGAAUCCCAGAAACCAAUCCUAACAACAUGUACAUAAUCCAACGAUGCAACAUAUUAUGAAACAACACCAACCGUGGCCUCAUAAGCAAUAUAUUCCCAGAAAGGAAAUAUCCUGCCUGUACAAGUGAUACCUAGUUCAUAGGAAUUAAUUUCAUGGAAACUAUUACAUAGCUAUUCAAAUAAAUGAGGGUACUUCUUUUUCAUUUCUUCCUCGGCCUCCCAGGUGGCCUCUUUAACCUGUUGGUUUCGCCAUAACACUUUCACGGAGGCAAUUUCUUUAUUUCUUAGAUUUCGGACUUGCCUAUCAAGAAUGGCAACUGAAAUUUCUUCAUAGGUCAGUUCUUCAUAUACCUCAAUAGUCUCUACUAGCACAAUAACCGACGGAUCUCCAACCACCUUCUUUAACAUAAACACAUUGAAUACCGGGUGCACUAAUGACAUCUCAGGUGGUAGCUCAAGCUUGUACGCCACCUGACCAAUCCUUUGAAUGUUUAUGUACGGUCCGACAUACCCCGGACUCAAUUUCCCUUUCUUACCAAACCGCAUUAUACCCUUCAUGGGGGAAACCUUCAAGAAUACCCAAUCAUCUUCUUUGAACUCCAAAUAUCUGCGACGAACGUCCUUAUAGGACUUUUGACGACUCUGAGCUUUUUUCAACCGAUCCUUAAUGACCUUAACCUUCUCCAUAGCCUGGUGCAUGAGGUCUGGUCCUAUCGAUUCUGCUUCCCCAAUAUCGAACCACCCAAUAGGAGAUCUACAUCUCCUACCAUAUAAAGCCUCGAAUGGUGCCAUCUGAAUACUAGCAUGGUAACUGUUGUUGUAGGCAAAUUCUAUGAGUGGCAAAUGAUCGUCCCCGCUGCCCUUGAAGUCAAGAACACAAGCGCGCAACAUAUCCUCAAGCGUCUGAAUAGUCCGCUCUGCCUGCCCGUCAGUCUACGGGUGAAAGGUUGUACUAAGAUUCACCUGAGUACCCAAACCUUGCUGAAAUUUCUUUCAAAAAUUAGCCGUGAACUGUGCCCCUCGAUCCGAAAUGAUAGAAACUAGAGUGCCAUGCAACCUGACUAUUUCCUUGAUAUACAACUGAGCAUAUUGUUCCGCUGUGUCGGUAGAUUUAACUGGCAAGAAGUGUGUUGACUUCAUGAGUCGAUCCACAAUCACCCAAAUCGAGUCGAAUUUGCGAGGAGUGCGAGGUAGUCCUACCACAAAGUCCAUGUUAAUCAUUUUCCACUUCCACAUUGGAAUUUCAAUGCUCUACGCCAACCCACCGGGCCUUUGGUGUUCGGCCUUCACUUGCUUACAAUUGGGACAUCUUUCCACAAAGUCCGCUAUGUUCAUCUUCAUAUCGUUCCACAAAUAGACUUCUCUAAGAUCAUGAUACAUCUUUGUAGAGCCAGGUGCACGGAAUACCUAGAAGUUUGAGCCUCAGUCAUGAUUCUUUAACGGAGAUCAUCAACAUUUGGAACACAUAGUCGCCUUUGGAACCUUAGUGUACCAUCAUCCAUGCCAAGAGAAAAGGCCAUGGUCUUAUGUUUUUGAACCCCCGCCUUCAAUUGUACCAACAAUAGAUCGUUGAAUUGCUUCUCUUUGACUUCCACCACAAGCGACGAUUCAGCCCUAUUUUGCACACUCACCCCUCCUUCACUAGAGUCCGCAAGGCGAACUUCUAAACUAGCCAACCGAUGAACCUCCUUAGCCAACGGCCUUUGAUAUGCCUCCAAGUAAGCAAAACUGCCCAUAGAUUUUCGGCUAAGAGUAUCCGCCACAACAUUGACCAUCCCCGGGUGAUACAGGAUGUCGAUGUCAUAAUCCUUGAGUAACUCAAGCCAUCUUCUUGUUACACCCCAUAUUUUCGUAUGUGGAAGUUCGCCAUAAAUAAAUUGAUGAAAGCUCGAAAAUGAGAUGUUACAUCCCGCAUUUUUUUUGUACAUUAAAGUUUUGUCGUAAGUUAAUCGAUGUAAGCUCGAGAAUGAGAUUAUUUUGAGAUUAUAAGUAUUAUGUUAUUUCAAACAAGGGAUAAGUAAAUUCAUGAAGGCGAGAGGGUAAGCGAAUCGAAGAAAAUAAAUUUCGUCGAAGUUUGACAUUUUGGGAUAUAAUACGGCCCGAGCUAAAAUACCCGAUAUUUAUGGACUAGUGCCAUACAAGGUACCACAUGACCAUGAUAGUAAGAUGUAUAAAGUAUGACAAAAGUGAGUAGUAUUUUAAGUAAUUUGAGAUAAUUCUUAAUUAUGUGGAUUUUUGGUUAAUUGCGGAUUUUUGAUGGAAGAUUAACCAUGUAAUUAAGGAAAUGGGUGGAUAAACUUUGGAUAAGCUUAAAUCCACCCCAACGUGGCAGCAACCCAUGUCUAAAGUAAUGACUAUUGAAUUACAAAACAAGGUGUCAUAUUUAGAGGAAAUUGUUGGCCAAGUAAGCCUUAUAAAGUGGGUCCUACAUCCAUUAUAAUAAAAGACAUCUCUAACAAAGAGAGAUACAUCUCUAACAAAGAGAGAUGAUAUGAAAUGUGAGAUUUCCAUAAGAAAUUUUCAGCAAGGUUCAUUCCCCAUUUCAAAAAUGAAAGUAUACUAUGCACUUAGCCCUAAAAAACAUGGAAAGAAUGACUAUGUUAGUCAUCUUUACAAUUGUAUUCAAUUGAUAUCAAAAAUCCAUUUUUGGAGGAGAUUUUGGAGUUCAUAUGGUACUUUAUGUUAAAAUAGCAACGACAGUUCUUAAAAUUGUGAAGAAAUUCAUACGAAAUUAUACUGCGUAAUAGUGACGGGAUUUUGCGAUUCUAAAGGAGUACGGUGCAACCUUUUCCAAGAAUAUCAUAUGAAUUUUUUCCUACUCCAUGUAUGUUAAGGCUAUCCCUUAUUUCUUUUGGCAUGAUCCAUAUGACACAAACGAAACGAGAAAAUGCACAAUUUUCAUAUACGACUCUAUUCAUAGAAAUAUUAGAGAUGCUUAUGUUCUUGAUUCCCCACGUGUCAUGUUAUUUUAUNNNNNNNNNNNNNNUNAGUCAUUUACUCUAUAUUUCUUCCAUGUCUAUUUUGUACUUAUUUAUGUGCCUUACAUACUCGGUACAUCAUUUGUGCUGACGUCCCUUUUGUCUGGGGACACAACGUUUUAUUUGCUAUCAAAUACACCACCACUUGACACAUUUCAUUUCAUAGACAGGUCGAGAGUCCUCCAAAUAGGCUAUCAGCUCAGCGGAAGGUUUUGCUGCGCUCCAUUUGCUCCGGAGUUGCUUAUGUGGUCAAUAUGAUUAGGACAUGUACUGAUUAGUAUGUCGGGGCCGUGUCCCGACCUUUAUGACAUUUAUGUACUCUUAGAGGUUUGUAGACAUAUGUCGAAUACGUGAAAGAUUGUACGGCCUUGUCGGCCUAUGUUUUGAGUUUAUAAAUGAUCAUGUUGGCCUAUUAGGCCCGUAUGUCACAUGUAUAUGAUGAUGUAAUAAGAAAGAUACGUUACGUUGGUACUCGGUUGAGUAAGGUACCGGGUGCCCGUCGUGGCCCAUCGGUUUGAGUCGUGACACUUCUCUGCCUCAAAUUCAAUUCCUUCUGUUUGAAAAUAUAUUGAAGGCUCUUAUGGUCCGUGAAUACAUCCACAUGGACCCCAUACAAAUAAUGACGCCAAAUCUUCAAUGCAAAGACCACCGCUGCAAGCUCUAAGUCUAUGUGUUGGAUAGUUCUUUUCAUGAUUUUUGAGUUGCCUAGAAGCAUACGCUAUCACCUUUCCAUGUUGCAUUAAUACACACCCAAGUCCGAUCCUUGAAGCAUCGCACUAUACCAAAAACCCAUCCGUACCAUGUAGUUAAUCUUGAUUUCAACUCUUGGAAUCUCCUUUCACAAGCAACUGACCAUUGGAAUUUAACCGCCUUCUACGUCAAUUUAGUCAACGGAGAGGCAAGAGUGGAGAACCCCUCCACAAAUUUCAUGUAAUAUCCAGCUAAGCCCAAGAAACUGCGAAUCUUUGUUGGAGUAGUAGGUCUAGGCCAAUUCUUCACGACUGAAUUUUCUGGGGGUCAACCUCAAUUCCUUAUCUAGAGACAACAUGACUCAAGAAUGUAACAGAUUCGAGCCAAAAUUCACAUUUCGAAAACUUAGCAUAUAAUUGGUAUUGAUACAGAGACUACAAAACUGCCCUGAGAUGAUCGGCAUGAUCCUCCCGACUCCGCGAAUAAACAAGAAUAUCGUCAAUAAACAUAAUCACAAAGGAGUCGAGGAAAGGUUUGAAGACCCGAUUCAUAAUAUCCAUGAAAGCUGCGGGGGCAUUUGUUAGCCCGAAAGACAUUACAAGAAAUUCAAAGUGCCCAUACCGUGUCCUAAAAGCUAUUUUCGGAAUAUCAUGCUCCUUGAUCUUCAACUGGUGAUACCCGGAUCUUAAAUCGAUCUUGUAGAAGUACUUAGCACCCUGCAAUGUGUCAAACAAGUCAUCUAUCAUUGGUGUGGGUACUUAUUUUAUAUUGUAACCUUAUUGAGCGGCCGAUAGUCAAUACAGAUUCUUAGCGACCCAUCCUUCUUUCUUACAAAUAGAACUGGUGCGCCCCAAGGCGACACACUCGGCCGGAUGAAACCCUUCUCUGACAAAUCUUUCAAUUGUUCUAUUAGGUCUUUCAAUUCUGCCGGUGCCAUUCUGUAGGGUGGAAUAGAUAUAGGCUGCGUGCCUGGCAUCACAUCAAUACCAAAAUCAAUCUCCCUAUUUGCCGGGAUCCCAGGGAGCUCAAGUGUAGGUGCCUCAGCAUCGGUGUCCGUAACCCCGACCAAAUGGUAGAUACACCCCUUGUAAAUCAUCUUUGUGGCCUUAAGGUAAGAAAUAAACCUACCCUUUGGAACCACAUUAUCCCCCUUCCAUUCAAUUACUGACUCGGUUGGAAAUUCACACCUAACGGUUCUGGUGCGACAGUCAAGCUUAGCGAAACAUGAAUAAAGCUAAUCCAUCCCCAUUAUUACAUCAAAAUUGACCAUCCCCAAUUCAAUGAGAUCGGCCAUGGUUUCUCGACCACGCACCGUGAUAACACAACCCCUAUACACCCGCGCGACCACAAUAGACUCACCAACCAGAGUAGAUACAGAGAACGACUCAUGGAGCAGUUCCGGUUCUAUCCCAAAUUCCAUAGCAACAUAGGGAGUAACAUAGGACAAAGUGAAACCGGGAUCAAUAAGAGCAUACACAUCAUGAGAUUGGACAGUCAAUAUACCUGUGACAACAUCUGGAGAAGCCUCUGCACUCUGGCGACCGCUCAUAGCAUAGAAACAGUUGGGUCCUCUCGAACUCUGCGUACCACCCCUAGCUGCACCAGACCUUGCGGGUGCUGGAGUGCCUGGGGCUGGAGGAGGUGCUGAGGACGUAGUAGCUACAGAACUAGCUGGCUGUGCUGUACCCCUUCCCACACCCUGGCGGGGCGAACGACAAUCCCUUUGAAUGUGACCCCUCAAUCAACACCCGUAGCAUAUGUGUAGGUCAAUGUAAUAGAUUUCCAAGUGCAUCUUCCCACACCUAGGGCAUGGGGGCCUCCGCUGCUGCUGGAAACUCCCACCAGACUGACCCUGUUGGUAGGAUCCCCUGUUGCCCUGACCGGGCCUAAAACGACUCCACUGCUGCUGACUAGGCCCCGAUGGCGGUGCACUGACUGAAGAAUAAGAAAAAGACUGGGAUGGCACUGAUGACCCUCCCCUGAAUGUUUACCUGCCACCACCACCAAAAGAACCAUCUAAGUUUCCCGCAGACCGGGCCUUACUGCUACCCUCACGCUCCAUUAUGUUCUUCAACUUACGAUUCUCUGUAGCUUCAGAAAAUGCCACCAUCUUCCCAUAGUUCAUAUCAGAAUUCAAGGCAGCUGUGGCGGCCUCAUUGAUAACCAAUGGGCUAAGGCCCUGCACAAACCGGUGCACUCUAGCCUCCAUAGUGGGCAUCAUGUGAAUAGCAUACUUGGACAAGCGCGUGAACUCCAUAUGGUACUCCCACACUCUUGCUACCUUGUUUUAGGUUCUCAAGCUCAGCAGAACGGGCUUCCUUAGUCUGGGGAAGCAAGAUAUGAUCCAUGAAAGCGUCGGCAGACUCACUCCACCUUGCCUGAAGGCUCCCCUCCUCACGGGAGAGUUCUCCCACAUCUCAAACCAUGAAUAGGCCACACCUUUUAGGUGGUAGGAGGCCAAAUCCACUCCCUCUGUCUCAGUAGCAUACAUAUCUCUGUGGGUCUUAUGCAUCUCAUCGAUGAAAUCCUGGGGGUCCUCCUCGGGAUCAGUACCAGUGAACACUGGAUGAUCUAACUGAAGAAACCUAUUCACCGUAGAACAAGUAGAGUCCCCUUGCUGACUAGAAGAAGUGGGUGCGACAUUCGACCUCUAGGCCUAGGAAGUCACUAUUUGAGCCAUCAUCUGUAUGGCACCCAUAAGAUCCCCAUCAGAAACAUCGAGACCGGAAGCUGGGGCUGGAGGUGGAACCGGAAUAUUAGUUGGAGGAUUCAUUGAACCCUCAUCAGGUGUAGGAACUAGUGCAGCCUGAGCAGGAAUAGUAGAACCCUUAUCAGGUGUAGGAACUAGUGCAGUGGUGUAGUAAUUGGGGGAAUAUUCUCACCCCUCGGGUGUUCACCCGCAUCAUCAAUGAUAGAAUCAACCGCCAUUCCUGGGGUAACAUCGGCUCCUUGGCCAGUUCUUGCCUUCUUCCUAGGCGCCAUUUACUGAAAGUUAGAGUAAUACACGAGUUAAAGGAGGAACAAUCGAAUAUUCAGCUUUAUCGUACGAUCAAGAACAUCAAAGAAGGGUAUUAUUCCUAAAUGUCCAAGUAGCCUCCUAAUUAUAGAUGUGGUCGACAAUACACCGAUAAGAAGGACUCUACUAGACACGGCUCUGAGACAUCCUAAGACACUUUAAAACCUUAGGCUCUGAUACCAAGUUUGUCACGCUUCGACCUCGGGGAGCGCGACCGGCGCUCAAUAGAGAUAACCCGGACGAGCAAGCCUAUACAGUACCUUCUACCCAAACUCACUCAUGAAUAAAGAGAAUAUCUAUUUCAUUAAUUAGAUAGUGAGGAGAUUCAUGUCAACAACAACACCAAUUCAUUAUCAGCAGUUUCAUCAGCUAUAAGUUUCAGAAUACAUACACUUUCAUAGUUUGGUGCGGAACGUGUGAUGCAGUUACCAAAAUUACUAGUUUGACAUUCCCAACACUUACAUACCACCCACACAAUAUCUACGAAGCCUCUAAAAGAUACAAAAGAGUACGAUGAUAGUGCCGGCAAUAAGGCCCCGGCUAUACCUCAAAACAUAAUACAUAAGGACAAAAGAUAUACGACCUCGAAUGAGGUGGGGCUGACCAAGUCAUCUGGGGAGAAGUUGUACCGCCUGCUGUGAAACCACCUGCUGUGGAACCACCUGCAUCCAUUUAAGAUGCAGCGCCCCCGGCAAAAGGGACGUUAGUACCUGUGGAAUAGUACUAGUAUGAAUGACUAAGCACUCUCUCAAUAGAACGAAUGAUGAAACAAGAAUGAACAAUCAUAAAAUCAAUAGGAUACUCAAACAAUACCCAAAACAUCAAGUUAGGAAUAAGACAAGGUUUCAAGUGAUUUCCAUAUUUUAAGUUGGGAGACCUUUAGUAUCGAUAUUCCAUCGUUUACAAUUUCCAACACAGUCACCACUAUGUCUGCGGCAUGGCGUCCGAUCACAACCCGAUUGGCUAGGCCGUCUCAUAUGAGACAUCAACCACAAUCACAAUUUCAAUUUCAAUUUCCAACACAAUCACCACCAUGUGUGCGGUAUGACGUCUGAUCACGACCCGAUCGGCUAGGCCGCUGCAUCCGAGACAUUGUCCUCUUCUAUCAAUCAUCCCAUUUCAUACCUCUUUCACAUCUUUUUAUUUCAUUGGCACUAGUGGUCACAAUUGUAAUAUCCCCUUUUUGUGUGGCGUGUUGGCCAUAUUUCAUAUUUUAUAUUUCGUGCUCACCUUUUCACUUUCAACCAUCAUCAUUGAUUUUCAACAACAAGGCAUUUACGUUCAAGACACUAAGCAUACAUGUGAGCAAAAAAGAGUCUUAAGUACAUUGAGAUUUCUUACACAAUUGGCAUUAGCUAUCAUUUGAAACGCAACUUGAGGCCAUAGCAUUUAACUAAGCAACCAAUACUUUGAACACAUUAACAAAUAGUAGUACAACUUAACAAGAGCAUUGGGAAUACAUAUUGAACACAAAAGUCUUUUGAUACAAAGUUUAUUCGGAUUAAUCGAUUCAUAAUGCGUAACUUGGGACUUACAAUGACAUUGUGGGGGUUAAAUUCUAAGGGAAGGUUAUAACCAACAUACCUCACUUGAGCUUCCUUAAACUCUAAAAUGUUUCGGAAAUUUUAGCAACUUCGAUCUAUUUCAGAAAUAUAACAAAUUGAACUAAAAAUUAGGAAAAUGAUCAUGUUUUCAACUCAUUUGUGCGUUUUAUCAAACACUAGGUGUGUAUUAAGGUUUCAAGGCCCUACUAUGGUGGAUUCCAUCAUCCACCGGUUAUCUACCAUUUUUAUCCCAAUAAUCUUCCUACACCCAUAGAUAACACAUGCAUGAAAGAGGGACAACUCCUAUACCCAAUAAUUGCCUUACUAAUUACCUAUUUUUUGUUAAUUUUCGAAAUUGAGCGUUAGGGUGUAGAAACUUACCUCUAGGAUGAAGACCAAGUGUGUUUUCCUUGUUAAUCUUCCAUGAUUUGAGUAAGAAUUGAAGAAUAAUUGGUUGAGAAACUUUCUCCCUCUCUAGAGCACUUUUUCACUCUCAAAAUGUCAGGUUCUUACUUAAGAAACGGUCCAUAGAGUCUAUAUAACGAAAUGAGGUCGGGUUAUAAAAAUCAAAAAAAUAAAGCACCGAAACACAAUCUGUGGUCGCAUAUCGGGUUAUAAAAACCAAAAAAAUGAAGCUCUCAAACACAAUAUGCGGUCGUAUAUGAGACCGCAUAAUGCUUCUGCGGUACGCAAAAUGGCCCUCCGGAACUGGGCACCGCUGCCUAGGUAUGCGGCCGUUCUGCGAUCCGCAUAUCGAUUCUGCGGUCACAAAGUGGACCGGAGAAUCUCCUCCGGGAAUUCGUCAUGUCAAUCUUGCGAUGCAAUCUGCGGCCCCCCAAAGUAAUUUUGUGGCAGCAUAAUGGCCCACAAAUUUUACUCAAGUUUCUUCUUCACUCUGCGACCAUUCUGCGGCCGCAUGUCUCUUUCUGCCAACAUUUUCCUUUAAGUCCCUAUCGCACUGUUCGACCCUAAAAGUCCGUACCGCGACGAGCAAGCAUGCUGAGAAGAAUUUCUACCAUCACCAAAAAUAUUAGCUUACCUCACCACCAUGGAACCUUGGGUUUUACGUGAAAUUUUACGGGGCCUUACACCCAGAGUACAAGAUUGUAUAAGGAAAGGAUGAAGAUAAUGCAUGAUAAGCACAUGCUAGAUAGGAACUUCAAAACCGGAGAUCUAGUGUUAUUAUACAACUCGAGAUUGAGAUUAUUUACGAGCAAGCUGAAAUCUAGAUGGUCGGGACUAUUUAGAGUUGUGCAAGUGUUCCCAAGUGGAGCGGUAGAAAAUUGAGUCCGAAGAUGGAACAAACAAGUUUAAAAUGAAUGGGCAAAAGUUGAAACACUACCUUGGAAUGAUUGAAGGAAGAGGGGAGAAAGAUGUGACUUACUUGGAAGAGACUAAUAUGUGAGUGAAGUGUAAUCCUAAAAGGCUGCGUCGUGCUGCGACGUUAAAUCAGACGCUUUUUGGGAGGCAACCCAUGGUCGUGUUGUAUUCGUCAUGCCAUGACGUUAACUAAGGUGAUUAUUGGCAGGCAACCCAAUUCGUAGCAUAGAUUUAGUUUAGUUUUUGUUUUUGUUUGAUAUUGAGGCAGAUUAACAAGUGAAUUUUGUGUGUAACUAUCGUGUUUUUCUAGGUAGUGGAGCUACUUGGAAGAACGUUGCCCUCGGGAGUCCAAAAUAAGCUAAAAGAUUGAAAAAUCAGACCUGGAAACAUCGAGCCAUCGCGUGAUAAAGUUAAAGGCUUUACCAUAGAGCACCUCAAACAACUUAGCAUCGAAAUAUUAUUGCCCCUCACGCUGCCUCGCCGUGUCUAGCACGUGACUGUUAGCGCCCCUCACACUGCCUUGCAGCCUUCAAACGCUGCCUCUCAUGCAGCCUUGCGCAGUCCAGAGUGCUAAGGCUGGCGCACCUCACACUGCCUCGCGACUUCCAUAUCGCACGCCUCACGUUGCCUUGCACUGCCCCGAGCAUCGAGGGCCAGGUAAGUAUAAUUGUAGUUUGCUAAUUUGUGAUCUUGUUAAUAUUCCUAGAAGUUUUGUUCUAUAAUGAAAAUCUGUAACCCUGCUAAUGCCUCAGAAAUCCUGAUUGUAGUUUAGUAUUUAUGAUAGUACCAGUGGAAGUUCUAAUUAUGGUUACUUCUUUGAACCUCUGUCAAUACUAUUAGAAGGGUCUAAUUGAAAUCAUCAACCUAUGUCUCUUAAUUGAAGUUACUGAUCUGUAUUUCCAAUUGAAGUUGUUGACCUAUCUCUGCAUUAGCACUCCUUAGAGAGCAUCAAUUGUAGUGAUAAACCUGUAAUGUUGUUAACAGUCUUCACGAGUCUUUAUUAUGAUUAUUAACCUUGCCCUCUCUUAAUCCCCUUUAGAAGUUAAUUCAAGCUGUUAGCCAUAUCUUUGUUAAUACUUUUAGAAGUCCCAAUUAGGACUGUUAACCUAUGUGUGCAUUAGAAAACAAGACCCAAGUUAAAACUAAUAUGUGAUUAGUCUAAUUAAAGGUUGUUAAGGCAGAUGCACCUGUUCAUAAACUAUUGCAGACUUGAACUAUGUGCUCUCUCUAUCCUUAAUAUAUAUGACCUCAGGUGUUUGGUUCUUUAACAGUAGUGUGAUAAUGUCUCCGCCUCUAUCUAUGUUUGAAGCUUAUUUGUUUUGAACUUGCUUAACAUGUUAACCAUCUAUUUAGUUUUGGAGAUAUGAUUAUGAUAAUGUAGAUAAAUUGUCUUGUAGUCUUAUAAUUUUCUCUUUGGCCCUCAUGGGAAAGGAAUAUACUUUUGUGAUAUGGUAUUACUGUGGUGAUUGGAUUAACAUUGAAAGUGCCUCGUUGGCACUUAAACUUGUGGGGAAGAGCGAGUGUGAGUGGUUAGGGGUAUUUGGGAGUACAUAUUCACUUUUGGUUGGGCUACUCUCCCUGACACAAGCAUUGCCCUGGGCCUUGAGACCCUUGGGAACUUUGAAGUGUCAGGGAUCCAAAGGGACUUUGACCUUGAGUGGAACUCUACCCUAAGCCUCUAAUCUAUUGACAUUCAUUACUCUUUUUAGGUUUAGUGUUUAAUGAAAACGAAAGAUUUUCAAUGUGAAUCACUUCACCAUAUGUGACCCCACAUUAGUAUAAGCUUUAAUAAUUUCCAAUUAUUAUUAGUUGUUAUUUAUUCAAUUCAUUUACUUAUAUAUUUUUAUGUGCAUAGAAUAUUAUAUCUAAUAACGUUCUCUCUCUUUUGAAUAUGUGCAACAAUUGGGCCUGCUGAGUUCUCAAAAGAACUCGUGCCCAAAUCUCGUACCAGUGCAUCUGAAAAUCCGAAGUUCACUACUGUCCGUUCCUGCUGAUUGCUGGGCCUAUCUCUUUCACGCCCGAGCCAGAGUCACUCGUUACCCCUUUACUGCUUUAUUACAUCCUGUUAUUUAUAAUCUCUCACGUGUAUAUGGCAUUACAGUCAUCAUGUUUGAUUUAAUGUUUUUCUUUAUCCUUUGAAUCACAUAAACAACUUAGGCAAGCCUUCAAGGACAUAGGAUUAAAAGGAACAUUAGGCUUAAUAGCAACUAGUUCUCAUUCGUUAAUCUUAUUCUACUGACGCCAUUAAUCUCUUAUGUUUUACUAACAUUUCAUGAUGAUUUUAAAGCCAAAAUAGCUUAGUAAAGGACGGCAGUCCCUCUUUCAAAAAGAAAAACUAAAAAUGAAUUUCAAGACUGGCCUUCUAAAAGAAAUCGAACCUUUCAGAACAAAGUGUUGUCGCCCAGCGAAAGAUUUUCAAAUGAUUUCCUCAAGUCUAAGUAUUAAGGUUUUGAAAGCCAAGGUACAUCUUAGGCUUACAACAUCUUUAUCUAAUUAGAGUUACAUGAAUAGUCACAUUCUUUGAAUACAAAGUGUUUUCUAACUUAGCCCCUUUUACAUAUUUCAUAAAUAUAAAUUAUCAUGUACAUAUUAUAAAAACUCUUUCAAUUAUAUAUAGAUAUAAACAUUAUUUUCCAACACUCCUUUACAAACUCAUAUCCUUUUUAAACCGCACACUCCUUUUAUAAAUAUCAUAUUCUCAUUUAGAUGUAUAUGGUAGGCCAUACCCCCUUAAUCACUAAUUAAGCAGAAUGCAAAAAACUAAUCCUUUAAACCUAGUAUAAGUCCUAUGGAGCUACCUCAGAUAGAUUUUAAGGGGUGACUAACACCUUUCGUUUAGAAGAAAAAGAACCCUUACCCACAAUCUCACCGAUUAGCAAACUAAUAAAGAAAAUGACCUUAGUUGUAACGAUUCGACCGGUCGUUUUGAGCUCUAGCGCGUCGUUCAGUGGUUUGAGGCCCUAAGCANNNNNNNNNNNNNNNNNNNNNNNNNNNNNNNNNNNNNNNNNNNNNNNNNNNNNNNNNNNNNNNNNNNNNNNNNNNNNNNNNNNNNNNNNNNNNNNNNNNNNNNNNNNNNNNNNNNNNNNNNNNNNNNNNNNNNNNNNNNNNNNNNNNNNNNNNNNNNNNNNNNNNNNNNNNNNNNNNNNNNNNNNNNNNNNNNNNNNNNNNNNNNNNNNNNNNNNNNNNNNNNNNNNNNNNNNNNNNNNNNNNNNNNNNNNNNNNNNNNNNNNNNNNNNNNNNNNNNNNNNNNNNNNNNNNNNNNNNNNNNNNNNNNNNNNNNNNNNNNNNNNNNNNNNNNNNNNNNNNNNNNNNNNNNNNNNNNNNNNNNNNNNNNNNNNNNNNNNNNNNNNNNNNNNNNNNNNNNNNNNNNNNNNNNNNNNNNNNNNNNNNNNNNNNNNNNNNNNNNNNNNNNNNNNNNNNNNNNNNNNNNNNNNNNNNNNNNNNNNNNNNNNNNNNNNNNNNNNNNNNNNNNNNNNNNNNNNNNNNNNNNAUUUGAAGGUUCCAACAGGUUCGUAUGAUGAUUUUGGACUUGGGCAUAUAUGUUCGGAUAGGGUUUUGGAUGACCCAAGAGCGUUUCAGCGCCUAUUGUGGAAGUUGGCAUUUUGGAAGAAUUUCAUAAAAAUUAGGUUGAGGUGUAUUUCAAUGUUAUCGAUGUCCGUUUGGGAUUCCGAAUCUGGGAAUAGCUCAGUAUCGUGAUUCUGGUAUUGGGAGCGCAUCCGGAAGUGAAUUUGGAGGUCCGUAGGUCAUUUUGUUGUCAUUUGGCGAAAAUUUGAAAUUUGAAGGUUUUUGAGAUGUUUGACCGGAACUGGACUUUUUGAUAUCGGGGUCGAAUUUCGAUUUCAGAUGUUGGAAUAGGUCUGUAAUGUCGAAUGUGACUUGUGUGCAAAAAUUGAGGUCAGUCGGACGUGAUUUGAUAGGUUUUGGCAUCGAAUAUAGAAGUUUGAUGUUCUAAAGUUCAUUAAGCUUGAAAUGGGGUGCGAUUCAUGAAUUCGACAUUGUUUGAUGUGAUUUGAGGUCUCAAACAAGUUCGUGUUAUGCUUUUAGACUUGUGUGGGUAUUUGAUUUGGAUCUCCGGGGGCUCGGGUGAGUUACGGAGUGGCUUCAGAGUGUUUUGUUAAGAAGUUGGAUUGCUUGUUCUGGUAUGAUCGCAAUUGCGAUGUUUUGGUCGCAAAUGCGAUGGUCGCAUUUGCGAGGCAAGGUUCGCGUUUGCGAACCUGGACUGCUGAGGGAAUGGAUCACAUUUGCGACAAUAUAGUCGCUUUUGCGAAGCCUGAAGAGUUCGCAUUUGCGAACUCUGUAUCGCAUUUGCGAUGAAGGCCAGCUCUGUCAGGGGGCGCAUUUGCGAUGCUUUCUUCGCAUUUGCGAAGGUCGCAUUUGCUCACCCACUAUCGCAAAUGCGACAUUUGCGACUGGAACCAAGGGCUUUUUAUUCCGAGAAUUAGCUCAUUUCCCUCAUUUCUCACUUGGACUUAGGCGAUGUUUUAGAGCAUUUUGAGAGGGGGUUCCAUCAUCAUGAAGAGGUAAGUGAUUUCUUCUAGUUGUGAGUUAAAUACAAGGUUUAUAUAUGGAUUUAGACACGAAAAUUUGUAGAAAUUUGGGAUUUGGAAGAAAAACCUAGAAAUUGGUAUUUUUGGAUUUUGACCACGAGAUUGGGCAUGGAAUUAGAAAUAAAUUAUAUAUUUGAGUUCGUAGUGCUACGGGUAGUGUUUGUCUUCGAAUUGUUUUGAAAUCCGGGCACGUGGGCUCGAGGGUUGCUUUUUCGAUUUUCGAGCAGAGUUGGAAAUUGUUAUAAAUUGAUUAAUUAUGAGUAUUAGAGUCAAUUUUGAUUCGGUUGCAUCACAGGUGACUAGUUUUGGAGCAACGGGCAUCGGUUUGAGGUGUUAGAGAGGCUUUGGAGUCGGUUAUGGAAUUUUGGAGCGAGAUAAGUCUCCUAUCUAACUCUAUGAGGGGGAAUUUACCCCUAAGUGAUAUAUUGAUGUGUACAACUUGUUGCGGGGGCUACGUACGCACGAGGUGACGAGAGUCCGUACGUAGUUAGAUUGCGGGGGCUACGUACGCACGAGGUGACGAGAGUCCGUACGUAGUUAGAUUCUUGUUAUUGUCCGGGUAGACUUAGGUUCACACCAUGAUGUACUUGUACGAUAGGGAUUAUCCUUACUCGUUUAAUUCUUUAUUUUACCUUUCUACUUGAGACUAGACUUGCUAUUAUAGAGACUUCACGAGUUCACGAUUAGUCACUGAAUAACUUUACUCCUCUUACGACAUGUUUUCGUGAUGUCGGGCCGCUCGCCUCUGUAGGAUUUAUAUACCACACUCUCAUGGGAGCAGGCCGUUCGCCUCGGCAGUUUAAUAAAUAUAUCUAUGGUUUAUGCCGUUCGACCCUCGGCAUUGCACAAUUUAAAUAUUUAUGUUAGAUCAGGCCGUACGCCUCGGCAUUUCCUAUAUCAUAUCCUCAUGAAAUCGUGCGUAAUAUUUGACAAGAAGCCAGGGUAUCUGUAAAUUUUUUCCUGAUUCGAAUUAUAACAACCCUUUUGGUGAGGUCCAUUAUACACAUAUAUAUGCUCCGGUUGAGGAGCAAUUUGCUAAUUAAAAGCUUUAGUUUAUUGUAAGGAGGAUUAUUGUACAACAUAUUUACACUUGUUUAUUUUAUUUAUUUGCUUUGCCUCAUAUUUGUUCACCUCCUUAUUGUACUUGAUAUUAUUGGACCACUAGUGAGUGUCGAUGUCGACCCCUUGUCACUACUUCUCCGGGGUUAGGCUAGAUACUUACUGGAUACAUGUUGAUUACGUACUCAUACUACACUUGCUGCACAUUUUUGUGCAGGUACAUAUGUGACUAGUGGCUUUGUGAGAGCAGAGGCGUGUAUGCAUGCGGGGACUUGCGUGAGCUGCAUUCCAUAUUACGACCCGCAACCAACAUAGUCUCCUUCAGAGUAUUUAUAUUUCUCCUGUCCAAAUUUNNNNNNNNNNNNNNNNNNNNNNNNNNNNNNNNNNNNNNNNNNNNNNNNNNNNNNNNNNNNNNNNNNNNNNNNNNNNNNNNNNNNNNNNNNNNNNNNNNNNNNNNNNNNNNNNNNNNNNNNNNNNNNNNNNNNNNNNNNNNNNNNNNNNNNNNNNNNNNNNNNNNNNNNNNNNNNNNNNNNNNNNNNNNNNNNNNNNNNNNNNNNNNNNNNNNNNNNNNNNNNNNNNNNNNNNNNNNNNNNNNNNNNNNNNNNNNNNNNNNNNNNNNNNNNNNNNNNNNNNNNNNNNNNNNNNNNNNNNNNNNNNNNNNNNNNNNNNNNNNNNNNNNNNNNNNNNNNNNNNNNNNNNNNNNNNNNNNNNNNNUGUAAUUUUUAAUUUUUCUCAAAUAAAACCUAUUAAAAGUAAGAUAAAUGUUUUAAAUGUAAAUAUUAUACCGAAAAGAAAUAUUUACACUAAAAUAGUAUAAAAUUCAGGUGUGGUAAAAAAUUAGUUGUUCACAGUCGGGUAGGGACAAGUAAGUCCCAACAUUCUGGUAGCUUUGGUGGCGACUCGUCUGGAGGCCGAGAUCGAUCUGGAGAGCCAUCCUAGCAGGCCGACUUAUCAUUCACCAUGUCACAGCCCCAGUUGCCCACCUUAAGAUGUUGUGAUGACACUUAGUCUCUAAGAAUAGAUAUGCCUAACAUGUAAUAAUAACAUAACAAAAAUAAUUAACAGAAAUAAUAAAGCAAGACUAAUAAACCCAUAUAAACUUCCAAAAUAAGAUCUCAACCACAACUCUCCCAAAACCGAUGGAACUGACUCAUAGACUCUAUAGAAUAAUCUAGAAUGUCUUCUACAACACCGUCUGAAUGAGAAAUACAACAAAAUGAAAAAAUAAGGGAAAGUGACUGCGAGGCCUGCGGACGUCGAGUAGGUAUACCUUCAAGUCUCCGGAUUACAACUACAAUCAAACACUAACGUUUAGCACGGGCAGACAUACAUGGAUCUGUACAAAAAGAUGUGCAGAAGCGUAGUAUGAGUACACAACAAUGGUACCCAUUAGGUAUUAAUCCUAACCUCAGUAGAGUAGUGACGAGGGCAUGUGAAGACACCUACUAGGACAUAAUAAAUAUAAUGAAAAUAUAAUAAUGAGAAAUAAUGGAACGCGGAGAAUAAAUGAUACGAAACAAGUUAAUAACAAAGAAUAAUGACAGAAUUAUAAGCAUAGAAAUAACAUAAAGGAAGCAAAUAAAGACAACCACAAAUAAAUCUUUUCAACAUGAGAUGCACAAAAAGAAUCAUAAGGCAUUGCCUAGUAUACAACAAGAAUCACAACCGAGGUACCGCCUCGUAUACAACAAGAAUCACAACCGAGGUACCGCCUCGUAUAUAACAAGAAUCACAACCGAGGUGCCGCCUGGUAUACUACGAGAAUCACAACCGAGGUACCGUCUCGUACAUAACAAGAAUCACAACCGAGGUACCGCCUCGUAUUCACAUUUCUCAAUUUCAAUCACAAUCUUUCCUUAUACCGCCACGUGAGCCUUACAUUUAAAUAAUUAUGAAAAUAUUUUUCCCGAAAUAGCUACACGCACUUUAGCCCACCUUAUUACACCGUGUGGCUUCAUGUAAUUCCCUUACUAGCAACACGCAUAUAAAUCCCACCUUAUGCUUUAUACCACCGCAUGCACAUCGAUAUCACAACAUAAUAACAACUCGCAUCAUAAGUGCCCAUAUGCCACAACAUGCCAAUAAUAAACAUUAUCAAUGUUUCCACAACAAUAGCUCAUGGCUGAACCACAAUGUGAACAAGAAUAUCAACAAUAACAAUGAAUAUAAAUUUCUCAACAAGGAAGACAUCUAACCAAAAUCGACUUAAUAUCAUCAAACAAUGCAAGGGAAAACGAUUACAAUAGAUGAAACUAUGUUCUUCAUACUUUCCCCAAAAAGUCAUCAGCAGUCAACUCGGGGCUCUCCCGGUCAAAACCCGGGUUCAGGAUAGAUUCCGACUACCCAUAACUGUCACGCCCUGACAAUGGGGAGCGCGACCAGCGCUCAACCGAGAUAUCCCAGUCGAGCAAGCCUACUUGAUGCCUUCUACCCGACCUUACCCAUGUAUAAAGUGAAGAUGUAUACCAUUCGUUAGACAAUGAGAGGAUUUCAUAAACAACACCAAUUUCAUUAACAUUAGUUACUUCACUUACAAUUCCAAAAAUACAAUACACAUGCAUAGUUUUAGAAGUGGAAACAUGUGUUACAAGUAAAACAUUUCAAGUUUGACUUACCCAAAUCAAAAUACAAUCUACGCUAUGUCUAUGGAGCCUCUAAUGGAUACAAAAGAGUAAUAUGAUGGUGCCAGAAAUAGGGCCCCGGCUAUACCUCAAAACAAUAUACAUAAGAAACAAAUGAUACAAGACCCCGAUAUGAAGUUGGGCCCACCAAGUCAGCUGAAAGUCAUUAUCACGUUGAGGCAGAAUUGUUAUUGUUGAGCAUUUUACCUUUAUUGUUGUUGUUGAUAUUCUUGUACACGUUGUGGUGGAGCCAUGAUCUAUUGUUGUCGAAAUAUUGAUAUUAUUGAUUGUUGACAAGUCGUGACAUAUGAGCACUUGUGGUGCAAGUUGUUAUUGUGAUGUGAUACUGCAGCGCAUGUGGCGGUAUAAGGCUUGGGGUGAAUGUGCAUGUAGUGGUAUAAGGUGGGACUUAUGUACGCGUCUCUUAUAGGGGAACUACGUGAAGCCACGCGGUGUCAUAAGGUGGGCUAAAAUGCAUGUAGCUAUUUCGGAAAAACUGUAUUCAAAACCUACGUAAAUGUAAGGCUCACGUAGCGAUAUAAGGAAAGAUUGUGAUUGAGAUUGUGAAUUGUGAAUACGAGGUAAUACCUCGGUUAUGAUUCUUGAUAUAUAUACACGAGGCGGAACCUCGGUGGUGAUUCAUACUAUACACAAGGCGGUACCUCGUUGUGAUUCUUGUUGUUUUGUUCUUCCUUGUUUUUGUCUGUUAUUGUCCGUCUAUGAUCAUUAUGGUUCUCUUUAACUUAUAUCUUUAUGUUAUUUCCGUGCUUAAAGUUCCGAUAUUGGUUCAUGCUGUUAACUAUUUCGCAUCAGUUAUUUCUCCGCUUUCCAUUAUUUAUCCUUAUUACAUUUUCAUACUAUUUAUUUAUAUCCUAGUAGGUCUCUUUACGUGGCCUCAUCACUACUCUACUGAGGUAAGGCUUGAUACCUAUUGGGUACCAUUGUGGUGUACUCCUAAUACGCUUCUGCACAUCUUUUUGUGCAGAUUCGGGUACGUCAGCUCCUGCCGGUUGUUAGUAAUCAUCUGUUAGCUACUUUACGGAGACUUCAAGGUAUGUAUUCUCGGCGUCCGCAGGCCUCAGAGUCACCUUCCUUUACUUUUAAUACUGUUGUAUUUAUCAUUUAGACACUGAUGUAGUAGGCACCCUAGUAUGAUUCUGUAGAGCUUAUGACUCAGUUCCACCGGUCUUGGGGAGUGUAGUGUUGUCGAUACUAUUUUCGAAAGUUACUCAGCCUGGUUUUAGUAUUUUGGUAAUUAUUUCUGUCAAGUUAUUAUUAACUAUUAGGCUUACCUCGUCGUAGAGACUAGGUGCCAUCACGAUAUCCUACAGAGGUAAAUUGGGGUCUUGACAAGUUAGUAUCAGAGGUCUAGUUACAUAGGUGUUACAAAUCAUCAGCAAGUUUAGUAGUCUUGCGGAUUUGUAUGGAUACGUCCGUACUUAUCUUCGAGAGGCUACGGAACUGUUAGGAAAACUUCACUUCUUUGAUUCCUUAUCAUGCAAAUUGGUUGACUUCGAAAACUGAAUCUUUGACUUUCUAUUCUCUCACAGAUGGUGAGGAAAUGCACUGCUAGACCCGAUGAUCAGACACCCGCACCCCCUACUAGAGCUACGAGAUGCCGGGGCCGGGACAGAGGCCGUGGAAGGGCAUGUGGUGUAGCCAAAGAACCUGCCCGAGUUGUGACAGAGGAGCCACCAGUAGCUCCAAUUGGGGGACAAGCAGUCGAGGCGCAUGUUGCCACCCAGCACUUCAGGAGACCCUCGCACAGUUCUUUAGCAUGUUUGGUACCUUAGCUCAGGCGGGGUUGAUUCCACUUGCACCAGCCACAUCUCAGGCUGGGGGAGGAGCUCAGACUCCCCUGGCCCGUACCCCAGAGCAGCGGGUCAAUGUUGAUUAGGUUCCAGAGGUUAUACUAGUAUAGCCUGUUAUUCCGGUUCAGCCCGCGGUUAGGGCAGCAGCAUCCGAGGAGUAGCAACUUAGACUUGAGAGGUUCAAGAAGUAUCACCCUCCUACUUUUGAUGGUUUAGCUUCAGAGGAUGCACGUGGUUUUCUUUAGGCGUUCCACCGUAUUCUCAGCACCAUGGGUAUUGUGGAGAUGAACGGGGUUGCUUUCACUACUUUCCAGUUGUUCGGAGCGGCAUAUUAGUGGUGGUGGGUGUAUGAGGAAGGUAGCCCAGCCGAUGCAGCUUCACUUACAUGGACUUAGUUUUGAGAGUUGUUCUUGAGAGAGUUUGUUCCCCAGACCCUUAGAGAUGCAUGGCACGCAGAGUUUGCGCAGCUGCGCCAGGGUACUAUGGCAGUGUUGGAGUUUGAUCUCCGAUUUAGUGACUUGUCCAUACAUGCACCUGCCUUGGUUUCUACUAUCAGAGAACAAGUCCGUCAAGUCAUCGAGAGGCUCAACAAUGGUAUUAGAUUCAGCAUGGCUCGAGAGUUAGAUACAUAUACCCCAUAUAAGCAGGUGGUAGAGAUUGCACGAAGGUUGGAGGGUAUGCGGGGCCGUGAGAGAGAGGAUAGGGAGGCCAAGAGUCCUCGAUGUAUUAGAGUAUUUAGUGGUGGCCACGCUGCAGCUAUAGCCCAUCAUGGCAGAGGCUAUGUGAGCCAUCCAGUUCACUCAGCACUUCCAGCUUCUAGUGGAGCUCUGCUUACUCCAAGACCUCAGGUUGCCCACUUUGCUCAGCCACUUUCUAGUUCAUCUCCUGCACGGGGUGCCUUCAGCGGUCAAUCCAGCUGACCAGGCCCGUGCCAGUCCCAGCAACCAUGCCUGCCGAGAGCCUGCUUAGAGUGUUGUAAUACCGGUCAUAUGGUUAGAGACUGCCCCAGACUUAGGAGGGGUGCACCUCCCCAGACAACUCAGGCUCCACAGAUUCAGUUAGGUCCACAAACUUCACAAGUCAUGAUUUCUACCUAAGUUGCCUCUCCAUCCACACAUCUAGCGAGGGGUAGGGGACGGGCGGGUGGAGGGUGCCGUAGAGGUGGAGGCCGGGCCAGAUUCUAUGAUUUUUCGUGUAGGAUGGAGGCACUAGAUUCAGACUCAGUUAUUACAGGUAUGGUUCCGAUUUUCCAUAGAGAUGCAUCGGUAUUAUUUGAUAUGUGAUCUACCUAUUCAUAUGUGUCAUCUUACUUUGCUCCGUAUUUGGAUAUAUCUCGUGAUUCUUUGAGUUCUCUUGUUUAUAUGUCCAUGCCUAUAGGAGACUCUAUUAUUGUGAAGCAUGUGUAUCGGUCGUGUUAAGUUGUUAUAGGUGGUUUUGAGACCAGAGUUGACCUAUUGUUAUUUAGUAUGGUAGACUUUGAUGUUAUUUUGGGCAUGUGCUGGUUGUCGCCCUAUCAUGUUAUUCUGGAUUGUAACGCCAAGACUUUGACAUUGGCUAUGCCAGGUCUGCCACGGUUAGAGUGGAGGAGUGCAUUAAAUAAUGUUGCUAGUAGGGUUGUGUCAUUUCUAAAGGCUCAUCGGAUGGUUGAGAAGAGGUAUGAUGCUUAUCUAGACUUUGUGAGGGAUGUCAAUGCUGAUACUCCUACCGUUGAGUCAGUUCUGGUAGUGAGUGACUUCCCAUAUGUGUUUCCAGCUGAUCUUCCGGGCAUUCCGCCCGAUAAGAAUAUUGAUUUUGGUAUUGACUUGUUGCCGGGCACUCAGCCCAUUUCUAUUCUACCAUAUCGUAUGGCCCUAUUAGAUUUGAAGGAGUUAAAGGAGUAAUUGCAAUUAUUGCUUGAUAAGGAUUUCAUUCGGCCUAGUAUGUCGCCAUGGAGUGCUCCGAACUUGUUUGUGAAGAAGAAGGAUGGUUCUAUGCGUAUGUGUAUUGAUUAUCGGUAGUUGAACAAGGUUAUAGUGAAGAACAUGUAUCCAUUGCCGCACAUUGAUGACUUAUUUGAUCAUCUACAAGGUGCCUGAGUGUUCUCAAAUGUUGAUUUGUAGUCAGGUUAUCAUCAGCUGAAGAUUCGGGAUCCAGAGAUUCUAAAGACUGCCUUUAGGACUCAGUAUGGUCACUACGAGUUACUUGUGAUGUCAUUUGGACUGACCAAUUUUCCAAUAACAUUUAUGUACCUAAUGAAUAAUGUAUUCAAGUCAUAUCUUGAUUCAUUCAUCAUUGUAUUUAUUGACAACAUCUUGGUGUACUCCCGCAGUCGGGAAGAUCAUGAGAAACACAUGAGGAUUGUGCUCCUGACCUUGAAAGAGAAGAAGUCGUAUGCAAAAUUCUCAAAGUGUGAAUUAUGGCUUGAUUCGCUGGCAUUAUUGGGUCAGGUGGUGUCGAGUGCGGGUGAUCAAGUUAGAUCCGAAGAAGAUUGAGGCAGUGCAGAAUUGGCCCAGACCGUCUUCAGCUACAAAGAUCCGGAGUUUCCUUGGUUUGGUCGGGUAUUUGUGAGGCCCCUCAAAAAUUUCCUAUUAGUUUGAGGCCACAAGCACACUCACAAGUCGCUUAAGUAUUUUCUUGCCUUACACAAGGGGUUAAAGACUGUAACAACUUAGAUAAUCAUGAUAAUACGUGUAGGAGUUGUAUUGGAUAUUGUUGAGGGCCUAAGGAGACCCUAGGACUAAGCCAUGUUGGAAAUUAUGGAAUGGGCUAAAGUUUCAGAACAAUUCGCACACGAUCCAACUUUAAAUGCAUACUGCUACCAAACUAUAAAGACAUAGGAGGUGAUCUACCUAUCAAACUAAAUCCCUUUGAGUCUAGUGUCCAACGCAUCAAACCGUUCGUCAUUUGGAUAUGUAUACAGAGAGUUAUGGUCAUCUUACCGGACCUAUGUCAUAUGCGUGCCCAGAUGCGCGGCCGCGCAUAUUUGGGAGUUACUGCCUUGUUUGCACGGCCAGAUGCGCGGCCACUUGCCCAGGUGCGCGGUCGCACACGUAGGAGCCACAAAAUACCCCCAAGACCGGGUAGGGAGAGUGGCUAAGUCAUUUCUUUGAGCUAGGGCUUGCUCUAUCAAGGGGAAUCCGUCCUAUACUUCCCUUCCAUGAACCAAGGUAAUGUUUUUGGAGUAUUUUGAGUUGAUUACUACUCCUAAACACUUAUAUUAACAAGGAUUAAUCUUGAAGAUCCAUAGAUUUCCAUUUAAAUCCCAAGAUUGGUCAAGAACAAUACAAGUGGGAUUCUCAAGAGUUUCACUAUAAGAGGUAUGUCUAUCAUCUCUAACUAAUCUAUGGUGAUUAAUUAUGUAUGAAAUAUGUGUUAUGAGUUAUGGGAUGGUGAUUAGAAGCCAUAAGUUCCUAACCUAGGUUGUGUUGGCAUUGUAGAGGUUGUAAAAUGAAUUAAUUGAUAACAUUUAUGGGUUGGAAGUGAAGUUUCGGGCAUGCAUGCGCUAACGGAAGUUGUGAGUUGAAUCAUUAAUGUGGAAGGAAGUUGUUAGGUGAAGAAAUUCCAUUGAAGAAGGUUGUAAGAAGAUAUGCACACUAGAUGAUUGUUAAAAAGUCUAAAUGACAUAAAGUAUAGAAAUCUUACUAAUAUUGGCGCAAAUGUGUUGCAUUGUUGUAGAUUGAAGUUGUUUAGUGCGGUGGACCAUCGUAGUAUUGUUAAGGGUCGAGUUUCAAGUAUGUUGGCUAAACUCUUCUUUAAGAAUUGAAUCCCCCGCGACCCUUGUAAGUUCCAAGAUGCUUAUUAUAAAUCGAGUAUUCCGAAUAAGUUUUGUGACAACGAUAUAUGUUCAAUUCAUGUUUCAAAUGCUCUUAUCAUGUUGUACUAUUAAUUGAGGAUGUGUUCCAAACUAUGGGUUGGGUAUCUAUAUGUUAUAACUCCAAGUCGUGAUUCAUAUGAAAGUUAUUAUGCCAAAUUGUGUAGAGAUUGUGAUUGGGAUUACACGUCCACCCGCACGUAUUGAGGUGAGGCGGCUGGGCCGCUUCGUGUAGGAUUUUGGUAUUCUUGGUGCACCACCACCAGCAUACAUACUGGGGUGAGGCGGUAUGGCCUCUUUGUGCAUGUAUUGGUAUCGUUGUUACACCCCCACCCACACAUAAUGGGGUGAGGCGGCAGGGCCGUUUUGUGUAGGUUUUUAUUUUUGGUUUUGUGGUUACACCUCCACCCACAUACACUGGGGUGAGGUGGCAGGGCCGUUUGAGUAGAGUUGUGUUAUUGUACUUGCACCUCCACCUGCAUACACUGGGGUGAGGCGGCGAGGCCGUUUUGUGUAAAAAUGGUUUUAGAGGAUCUUGUCUUAAAAUUUAUAAAUGUUAUUGACAGCUCUUGAUAAAUUUUCUUUGGCUCAAAUGGCUAUCUAUGCUAUUCUAUUGUCACCCCGAUUCAUCAUAUAGAUGUUGUAUUUUCAUGUUCUUAAUUAGGUGUUUGGUUUUCAUACUAGUACUAUUCGACAUGUACUAACACCCCUUUUGCUGGGGGCACUGCAUUUUUAAUGGACGCAGGUGGUUCCAUAGCGGAGGAUACUGACCGGUAAUAGCGGUGCUCAUUUUUCCCAGCUGACUUGGUGAGCCCCAUCUAAUUCUGGGGUUGUGCAUCUUUUUUUUCGUAUGUAUUAUCAUGUUUUGAGGUAUAGCCGGUGCCUUUUUGUCGGCACUAUCAUUGUACUCUUUGGUAUCUUUAGAGGCUCCGUAGACAUAGUGUAAGUUGUAUAUGUGUUACACCCCAUGUUUUCGUAGGUGAAAGUACGCCAUAAGUAAAUUAAUGGAAGCUCGGAAAUGAGAUGUUAUAUCCCGCAUUUUCGUAUGUUAAAGUUUCGUCUUAAAUCAACGUAAGUUCGGGAAUGGGCUUAUUGUGAGAUUAUAAGCAUUAUGCUAUUUCAAACAAGUGAUGAGUAAAUUCGUGAAGGUGAGAGGGUAAGAGGAUCGAAGAAAAUGAGUUUCGUCGAAGAUUGUCAUUUUGAGAUAAAAUACGGUCCAAGCUAUAAUACGCGGUAUUUAUGGACUAGUGCGAUACAAGGUACCACAUGACCAUAAUAGUAAGGUGUACAAAGUGUAUUAAAAGUGAGUAGUAUUUUAAGUAAUUUGAGAUAAUUCUUAAUUAUUUAAAUUAUUGGUUAAUGGGGGAACUAACAAGUUAAUUAAAAUUUGUAGGUAAUUAAUUCAUAACCUUGGGAUAAUACCUAACCCCUCCCCAACGUGGAAGCACCCCCCCUUUCCCAUGUUAUGAAUCUUGAAAGAGAAUUAAAGGUGUCACACUUGAAAAGGGUAGGUGACACGAAGCUUGAAAAGUGGCGCCCACUCUCUUUAAUAAAAGAAAACACCUCCCCUAAUUCAUUAAGAGCAAAAUACAUAGCUAACAGAUGGAAUCCUCUUUCUCAAGAUUACAUAACGUAACAGCAAGAUUACAUAACAGAUGGAAUUCUCUUUCUCAAGAUUACAUAACGUAAUAGCAACGGGAUUUGCAAUUCUAAGGAUGCCCGGUAUAAUCUUUCUCAAGAAUAUCAUACGGAUUUUUUUCCUAUUUCGAUCCGUCGUUACGUGUUGUCGCAAUCAACGUGUGUUAGAGGGAUUAUUAAGAGAAUCGACUCAGGUAUGUUAAGGCUAAACUUUCCUUCAUUUUGGCAUGAUCUCGUAAUUACAUGUGUUUGAUAACGAGGCAUAAAGAGAAGUUCAUACUCCUGAAUUUAUAUACAUUAUCAUAGUCUCAUGAAUUACAGUAUUCUCCUUAUCGGGACUUCAUAUUUAAUUGAGUAUUGUCUUCUUCCAGCCAAGAGAGAAGAGAGCCUAUAUUUAUAGUAUUACAAUAUUUUUAUUACCAUCGAGCUAUAAUCGAUGGGCAAGCCCCUAUUGGGCAACCCCUGAUCAGAUGGUAAGUUAUAUACCGAGCCUAAUGUGGCCGAGCGCCUAUGAGCAAGCCCAGUUGGCCAAGAUACAGAGCCUAGUAUGGCCGAGCGCCUAUGAGCGAGCCUACUACGGCAGAGCAGUUGUCUAUAUACCGAGCCUUAUAGGGCCGGACAACUAUUUUACUUACUAUAUUGAGAGAGUUGAGUCAGUAUCAGCAGAUAAGCAUAUCUUCAGAUUGUCUUUGACUCCCGGUUAUCUUUAGUUAUUAUAUUAUCAGUUCAGUUUCAACUUUCAGUAUAUUGCCUUACAUACUCGGUACAUUAUUUCGUACUGACAUCCUUUUUGCCUGGGGACGCUGCGUUUCAUGCCCGCGGGUCCUGAUAGAUAGAUUGAGAGUCCUCCAAGUCAGGCUAUCAGCUCAGCAGAAGAUGUUGGUGCGCUCCAUUUGCUCCGGAGUUGCUUAUUUGGUCAGUAUGACUAGGACGUAUGUUGAUUAGUAUGGCGGGGACCUGUCCCGACCUUUAUGAUACUUAUGUACUCUUAGAGGCUUGUAGACAUAUUUCAUGUACGUAAAAGAUUGUAUGGCCUUGUCGGCCUAUAUUCAGUGUACGAGUGAUCAUUUUGGUCUUAUAGGCCCGUAAGUCUUAUGUAUAAGUUGGUACUAUAUGUUUUAUUCUAGUUAUCCUACGGUAGCCUUUCUGUCUCAUUUACCUAUGUUAGCAUGAUACAAGAAGAUACGAUAUGUUGGUACUCGGUUGAGUAAGGUACCGGGUGCCCGUCGCGUCCCGUCGGUUUGGGUCGUUACAAAAUUGGUAUCAGAGCAGUUCUAUCCUAGGGAGUCUACAAGCCGUGUCUAGUAGAGUCUUGUUUAUGGGUGUGUCGUGCACCACACUUAUAAGUAGGAGGUUACAGGGCAUUUAGGACUGUCACUAUUUCUUCUUACUCUAGAUCGUGUGGUAGAGCUCAGUUCUAAGAACUCAAUUUCCUAAACUCUAUAUUUUUCAUAAUACGACGAUGCCGACAUCCAGAAAGACAGUUGGUAAGAGAUAUAAUUGUGGAAGAGUUGAGUCAGAGGAACUCAAUUUUUCAUGAUGCUUAUGAUAAGUAAAUGUAAGGUCUUCAGUAGAUCAUGUGUGUACUAAGACGUGUAAACCUCUUGAUAAGAAGCCUUAAGGCAAGAAUAUCUAUCCACCUUUAUGGUGAAAGACAAUGAGAGAUUCAGAAGAUAAAUUAAAGUUUCAACAAGCAAAAGAAGCAAGAUGAAGAAGGUACGAGACGCCCAGUUAAUGAAGGUUAAUAGUAUUUACAAUUUAGGCAGAGGAAUAUAAGCCUUUUGAGUUACCUUCAACAGUAACAGAGGUAUAUACAAUUGGCCACACCGAUCUCAAGUUAUGCCCUAUGGGAGCUAAUAUAUAUUGUUUAAGAGAAGGACGGGAUAUUAGGAUCUGGCUAGGGUUAGAGUGACCCAAAAUGAUGGGUGGAUUGUUUGCGUUAGUUGACAUUUCCGAAGGAUAUUGCAAAUGUGCUAAUAAAUCUCCUUGUGAGACACCCAGAUGGUGCACUCUAAAAUAGUACAGCUAGAUAUGAGUGCUACAGAGAUAGGCACUGGAAGCCUUGAAGGGAUAAAUAUUACCUUAGUGUGGCUCCCAUCCCUAGUAGAACGUGAAUGUUAGGCAACCCAAGAGCCAGGGGAUGGAGCAAGGGGAGAUAAAAGCAAAAGAAUGUCUUGUUGGAAUUUUGAGAAUAAAGUGAUAGACAUAGAUGUUAGCGGGAAAUAAGAAGAGAGUUAAUGAAGCAUUAUGAGUAAGAUAUGACAGUAUUACAGAGUCUAUAGUUAAGUGAAGGAAAAGAAGAGAGGUGACAGGCGUUGAGACAACAAAAGAAUAUAGGCAAUCAAGUCAUAUCCUCAUUUCGAGAAAUAAGCUCGUGACUCCAACGUGACUACCAGACGGAAAAGUUAGACCCUAGAGUAAUAGAAAUCAGUAUGGACUGGUGAACAAGAUAAACUAAACAUGAAUUAAGGACUGAGUGAUUUAAUAAUGGUCGGCAUCAUGAGAAUUUCAGAUUGCGUUCCGACGAUAAUAGAAUGGACAACAGAAGAAGAUUCAUAAGAAACUCAGAGAAAGGUAAUUCAAGAAGACGCUUCCCUAAAACAAGCAAUGUGAGCAAAGUUAAGCUUAAGGGACUGGAUGUGCCAGUUACACUAAGUGUCACCAUCACGAGUAAGUAAUUUUGUUAUCCUUAGUACAUAAGGAUUACCGCAAGGAGGCCAAAGAUGAAGAGUUAAAACAUCUAUAGGUAGGUCGUCGUAGCUCCAACUCUUAAUACUCCCCAAAAGGGGGGAAUAUGGAGUGAUGUGGCAUUAAGUCAGAAUUAAGUGAUUAUGGAAGGAAGAAUGCGAUAAAAAAUGAAAAAGGGAUGAGUUUUGACUUAUUCAAAGCCUACAGAGAUGCUACGAUUCCAGAACAUUAUGCAAACACGACGUCAAGGAAAGGAAGUAAGGGUCCCUGCCGGAGAAGUUAUUGAUAGAUAAGGAGCCAGUGCGAGACGUAAGUUAAGACAAAGGAAAUAACCCAAGAAAGAUUACGUGAAAUAUUGAUAUGAGAAUGGGCCAACGAGUAGUUAGCAGUUGAUUCAGGAAGAGCCUACUUAUGGCUAAACAGGAGGUUACAGAUAAGUCAGCAAAUCGUGCAAGAUAAACAUAGUAAAACCCAAUAUAGUGAAUUCAGCCCCGCAGUUAUGACAUUGUAAUAUUUGAGAGAUAUUCAAAUAGGAGUUGGGGUAGUUAAAUGUACCAUAUGAGUGUUACGGAGAUAAAAGAGAGUGCCACUGGAAAGACAACAAGUACAAGGGCAUAGAGGUAAGUAACUAUGGAUAAUUAUAGGCGAGUAAGGACAUCAAAAAUUCUGUCGAAUAUACGAUGUAAUAAGCUCGCAGCUUUACAAGAUUCAGAGGGUCCUCCCUAAGUACUGCAGUCAAAGACUAGUUGAGGAAAUAAGGAAGAAGGCUUCAACCUAAAUAUAGUAACUUGAAAAAUAAAUGGUCUUGUAAUAGCAGUCUCACUACAACAUUGUAUGCACUCCAUAAGAAAGUGGCACCUACCGUGGUUAAUGAACGGGGAGUAAAAAAACAAAUUGAAAGUAAUAUUCAAGAUCAUAUGAGUUGCACAGAAAUUUCGGCAUGCGUCGGGACUAAGACAAGCUAAGUAUGCACGCAACAAGGGGGCAGAAAGACCCCGAAAAGUAAUUGCUUACGUUUGAAGAAAGCUGAAAAGUAACGAAAGGAAUUAUUCGACUAAUGAACCAGAGUUAGUUACAUUAUGAACGCACUUAAGAUUUCAAAGCAUUAUCCAUGCAGUAUAUAUGUUGACAGUCAUACAACCGUAGAAGGCUCCAGUAUAAGUUAAAAGAAAGAAUUGAGCCCAGUCAUAGACAAAAGAUUAAAUUGUUAGAAGAUUGUAUCAUGGAUAUUCCAUAGCGCCCAUGAAAGGCUAAAGUAAUAACUAAUACCAGGAGCCACAGAUCGGAAGAAAGCUUAAGCCUACAUAAUGGUUGAUCAGAAGGAAGAGGAAACUAAAGAGUUACCUUAAUGAAGUAAAUCAGAAGUCUGAUUAUUGGACCCAGAAAAUUAUAGAAAUCGUGAUUGAGAACAUUGCAGAAUCACUUUUAAUAUCAAAGGUACAAGAGAGAUAGUACAACAAUAAUAUUAUAUAACGGCUCUACGAGAAAGCGAGUUAGAAGAGUACCAUCCUCAUAAGAAGUCAAUAUGAAGCUCCCAUCAGAUUGUGUAUGCACCAGAGGUGCAAGUAUUAUAAGAGAGCUUCAAGUUGUGGAUGU
This 40910-nucleotide long non-coding RNA is filed under the name Nicotiana tabacum (common tobacco). RNAcentral's name for it is "long non-coding RNA (NTAB_LNC005324)". The record is from RNAcentral. Lineage: Eukaryota; Viridiplantae; Streptophyta; Magnoliopsida; Solanales; Solanaceae.